AACCAGCUCUUCAAGUGGUCGGGAUAAUUAUUGGGCUUAAAGUGUCCGUAGCCGGUUUAGUAAGUUCCUGGUAAAAUCGGGUAGCUUAACUAUCUAUAUGCUAGGAAUACUGCUAUACUAGAGGGCGGGAGAGGUCUGAGGUACUACAGGGGUAGGGGUGAAAUCUUAUAAUCCUUGUAGGACCACCAGUGGCGAAGGCGUCAGACUGGAACGCGCCUGACGGUGAGGGACGAAAGCCAGGGGAGCGAACCGGAUUAGAUACCCGGGUAGUCCUGGCUGUAAACGAUGCAUACUAGGUGAUGGCACGGCCAUGAGCCGUGUCAGUGCCGUAGGGAAACCGUUAAGUGUGCCGCCUGGGAAGUACGGUCGCAAGGCUAAAACUUAAAGGAAUUGGCGGGGGAGCACCACAAGGGGUGAAGCCUGCGGUUC
RNAcentral lists this ribosomal RNA (429 nucleotides) under uncultured archaeon. Its description in RNAcentral is "bacterial SSU rRNA". It matches the Rfam family "Archaeal small subunit ribosomal RNA", at positions 474 to 903 of the family's 1478-position model. The record is from RNAcentral.